Molecule: ribosomal RNA, 118 nt
Filed under: Prolemur simus (greater bamboo lemur)
Lineage: Eukaryota; Metazoa; Chordata; Mammalia; Primates; Lemuridae
Source: RNAcentral
GCCUAUGGCCAUGCCACCCUGAACACACCCAAUCCCAUCUAAUCUCAGAAGCUAAGCAGGGUUGGGCCUGGGUAGUACUUGGAUGGGAGAACACCUGGGAAUACCAGUGCUGUAGGUA